This 617-nucleotide long non-coding RNA is filed under the name Sus scrofa (pig). RNAcentral describes it as "lncRNA (ENSSSCG00060046055.1)". Lineage: Eukaryota; Metazoa; Chordata; Mammalia; Artiodactyla; Suidae. The record is from RNAcentral.
CAAGCAGUGUUUUUGGUAGGUUUUAAUAAACAGACUUUUCAAAAGACGGCAAUAUAGAAUUGUUAGAUCCGUUGUUGAUCUAAAAAUAUUUGCUUUAUAUUUUCAUUAAAUGACUUCUUUUAAUAUUUUAUUCAGAAUACUUAUGAACUGCUGCAAAACGGUAAUUUAUUUUUCCCCAGAUCUUGUAUUACGUGUUUUUUUCAGACGAGCACAAAUCAAAAUGAAAUGAAAAUAUGGACAGUUGUUAGGUAAUAAGGAGAUCGGAAAGGAGCAGAGGAGGAGGGGGGUGCUGGGGCCCAGGCGGCGGGCGUCAAACGCCCAGCUUCCCCCGGGGACGCAGCGCAGGUGGGGCGGUGGCUGUCGCGGGAGGAGGGGGGGCGGUGGCCCGACCCUGCCCGGCCGGGCUCUGCUCAGCGGCCCGGCCGUAACAGCUGCGGACAGUCCCACAAGCUGUUUUCCUCGUGGCGACCAUUCAGCAAAACGCACGAUCCUUUCUCAAAGAUUUAAAUUUCGCGGAUGAAUUACCAUACACCGGUUGCUUAGCAACUAUAUUCAAGCAGGGCUAAGAAUAUGCAAGCUUUUUGUAUUCUCAUUAAUAAAAAUGCCACUCUGACACA